GAUGAUUGAUUAGGGUUUUAGUGUUGUCGGACCAGGCUUCAUUCCCCCCAAUUAUCACUCCCUCACAAUCCGAAUUAACGAAUAAAAUUUGUCCAUUUUCAACUUUUGAUCUAGGGUCUUCAAGAUCUUCUGAGUUUCAGGUGGGUUUGAUUUUUUUUUAAACAGAUAGGUGUAAUGAUGAAGGAGUCUGACUCAAGACAAGUUAGCAUUCAGAGAGGCUAAAUCUAUUCCUGGUCAUGAUUAAUGAUUAGGGUUAUUUACUUUCAAAUCCGUUUGUUUCUAAAAAAUCAAACCACAUCUGCUAGAUCUGAAGCUAGUAGAUCUGAGUCUUUCAAACUACUGCUAUAUUUAUGUUUCUUGUUAGUACAACUAUUAGCCUUAGGGUUUCGUCAUUACAUUACUUCAAAGAUUUAAUACUUUAUAUUUAUAGAUUCCCAUA
This 439-nucleotide non-coding RNA is filed under the name Arabidopsis thaliana (thale cress). Lineage: Eukaryota; Viridiplantae; Streptophyta; Magnoliopsida; Brassicales; Brassicaceae. The record is from RNAcentral.